CAGCCGCCGCGGUAACACGAAGGGUGCAAGCGUUACUCGGAAUUACUGGGCGUAAAGCGUGCGUAGGUGGUGGUUUAAGUCCGUUGUGAAAGCCCUGGGCUCAACCUGGGAAUUGCAGUGGAUACUGGGUCACUAGAGUGUGGUAGAGGAUAGUGGAAUUUCCGGUGUAGCAGUGAAAUGCGUAGAGAUCGGAAGGAACAUCUGUGGCGAAGGCGACUAUCUGGGCCAACACUGACACUGAGGCACGAAAGCGUAGGGAGCAAACAGGAUUAGAUACCCCAGUAGUCCCUGUCUCUUAUAC
Molecule: ribosomal RNA, 301 nt
Filed under: uncultured bacterium
Lineage: Bacteria
Description: partial 16S ribosomal RNA
Rfam family: Bacterial small subunit ribosomal RNA
Source: RNAcentral